GGAGUCCGUAACGAGCAAGCAGCGGCCUCUCGACGAUCAAUGACUUUCUAUUUUCUCUCUUCGUACACACGGAUGGUGUUUUCUCCGGAAAAAGAAUCUCGCUGAAGGAAGGCCAAAAAAGUUCAUGAGUCGAAAAAACAUUGGCAAAAUCUAAUCUGCCCUAAUUACUUGCAGCUGCAAAAGCUACCAUUGUUAUAACAAAUUAUUGUUUGGAGUCAACGCUACCGUAGUUCCACCAGUCCCCAUCGAAGCUGAUUUUGAAAGUGCAGGCUGUACGUAGGGGUUGAAAAAAAACACGAUGUCUGUUAGCGGACAAUU
Fukomys damarensis (Damara mole-rat) is the source of this 318-nucleotide long non-coding RNA. RefSeq lists it as uncharacterized. NCBI's taxonomy places the organism in Eukaryota, Metazoa, Chordata, Mammalia, Rodentia, Bathyergidae. The transcript has 3 exons. The record is from RefSeq and is a predicted model, not a curated record.